RNAcentral lists this ribosomal RNA (270 nucleotides) under uncultured Staphylococcus sp. RNAcentral's name for it is "partial 16S ribosomal RNA". It matches the Rfam family "Bacterial small subunit ribosomal RNA", at positions 90 to 355 of the family's 1533-position model. Lineage: Bacteria; Bacillati; Bacillota; Bacilli; Caryophanales; Staphylococcaceae. The record is from RNAcentral.
CGUUAGCGGCGGACGGGUGAGUAACACGUGGGUAACCUACCUAUAAGACUGGGAUAACUUCGGGAAACCGGAGCUAAUACCGGAUAAUAUUUCGAACCGCAUGGUUCGAUAGUGAAAGAUGGUUUUGCUAUCACUUAUAGAUGGACCCGCGCCGUAUUAGCUAGUUGGUAAGGUAACGGCUUACCAAGGCGACGAUACGUAGCCGACCUGAGAGGGUGAUCGGCCACACUGGAACUGAGACACGGUCCAGACUCCUACGAGGCAGCAGCU